Molecule: unclassified non-coding RNA, 4281 nt
Filed under: Helicoverpa zea (corn earworm)
Lineage: Eukaryota; Metazoa; Arthropoda; Insecta; Lepidoptera; Noctuidae
Description: chitin synthase chs-2, transcript variant X3
Source: RNAcentral
AAGCGCGCGGCCCGCCGACCGAACGCACGCGCGACCAUGCGCAGCGACGCCGUCCCGCGAGUGUACUCCACGCUUUAUCUCAACAUUGUGAAGUGAUACACAGUACACAUACGGAUUGCGAACGCUCAUCUUCUUAGGAUAUUUAGCACGAACAAAAUAAAACAUGGCGACGUCGGGAGGGAAGAGGCGCGAGGAGGGUAGCGACAACUCCGACGAUGAGCUUACACCGCUCGCCAAUGAAAUCUACGGUGGAAGCCAAAGGACAGUACAAGAAACGAAAGGAUGGGACGUGUUCCGGGAGUUCCCGCCGAAGCAGGACAGUGGGUCUAUGGAGACCCAGAAAUGUUUAGAAUUCACGGUGCGGUUGUUUAAGGUGAUGGCAUAUCUAGUCGUGUUCAUCGCCGUCCUCGGGUCCGGAGUCGUCGCAAAGGGCACCACGCUUUUUAUGACCUCACAGCUGAAGAAGGACAGGCGAAUUGCGUAUUGUAAUAGGAAUUUAGGUAGGGAUAAACAAUUUAUAGUAAGUCUGCCAGAUGAAGAGCGAGUGGCGUGGAUGUGGGCGAUCCUGGCAGCGUUUGCCAUCCCAGAAAUAGGAACACUCAUUCGUUCAGUAAGGAUAUGUUUCUUCAAAACUUCUAGAAGACCAACGAGUACGCAGUUUAUUGUGAUAUUCAUAGCGGAAUCGCUGCACACGAUAGGAAUGGGCCUUCUAUUCUUCUUGAUCCUGCCAGAACUGGACGUUGUGAAGGGAGCCAUGAUAACCAACUGUCUUUGCAUCAUUCCUGCGAUACUUGGCUUGCUUUCACGUAACUCGCGAGACUCCAAGCGGUUCAUGAAAGUCAUUGUGGAUAUGGCAGCGAUAGUUGCUCAAGUCACCGGGUUCAUAGUGUGGCCACUGUUGGAGAACAAGCCCGUUUUGUGGUUGAUACCAGUUUCAUCGUUAUGCAUAUCUCUGGGAUGGUGGGAGAACUACGUCACACGUCAAAGCCCCAUAGGUAUAAUCAAAAGUUUGGGCAGACUGAAGGACGAAUUGAUUUUCACCCGAUACUACACAUAUCGCUUCAUAUCUGUAUGGAAAAUCAUGUUGUUCCUCAUGUGCAUCCUCUUCAGUAUAUGGAUAGACGGAGACGAGCCUGCCAUGUUCUUCCAACUGUUCAAUACAGGUUUCGGACCCCACAGCAUCGUUGUAGAAGAGGUACAAAUCCAACUAGGCGGAACCGUCAUUCCUGAUCUGGCUAAUGUAACUCUAACCGGAGAUUCGGUAGAAGUGGCAGCUGCAUACAAAUCGGCAUUCUACGUGAUGCUCAUCCAAAUAUUUGCAGCGUACAUCUGUUACAUAUUUGGAAAGUUCGCGUGCAAGAUUCUCAUCCAAGGCUUCAGUUAUGCGUUCCCUAUCAAUCUCGUCAUUCCCUUGGUGGUCAAUUUGUUGAUUGCUGCAUGUGGUAUUAGAAAUGGCGACAAUUGUUACUUCCAUGGAACAGUUCCAGAUUAUCUUUACUUCGAAAGUCCACCCGUGUUUACACUCAGCGAUUUCAUAUCCCGUCAAAUGGCUUGGAUAUGGUUACUUUGGCUGCUGUCGCAAACGUGGAUAACUAUACACAUCUGGACACCUAAAGCCGAACGUUUGGCCUCAACGGAGAAGUUAUUCGUCAUGCCGAUGUACAAUGGUUUAUUGAUAGAUCAGAGCAUGGCUCUGAAUAGAAAGAGAAACGACCAGAGAGAUGUUAAGACUGAGGACCUCGCAGAAAUAGAAAAAGAAAAAGGCGACGAAUACUACGAAACUAUAUCUGUUCACACUGACAACACCGGUUCUUCUCCUAAAGCUAUCAAAUCGUCGGAUCAGAUCACCAGGAUUUAUGCAUGCGCUACUAUGUGGCACGAAACUAAAGACGAGAUGAUGGAGUUCUUGAAGUCCAUUCUUCGGUUGGAUGAGGAUCAGUGCGCUCGGCGAGUCGCUCAAAAGUACUUGCGAGUUGUUGACCCCGAUUACUACGAAUUCGAAACGCACAUUUUCUUGGAUGACGCAUUCGAAAUAUCAGAUCAUAGUGACGACGACUCCCAAGUGAAUCGAUUCGUGAAACUUCUUGUGGACACUAUCGACGAAGCGGCUUCUGAAGUGCAUCAGACGAACAUACGUAUACGCCCACCGAAGAGGUUACCAGCGCCUUAUGGUGGACGACUGACAUGGGUGCUGCCAGGAAAGACGAAGAUGAUCUGUCACUUGAAAGACAAGGCUAAGAUCCGUCACAGAAAGCGAUGGUCUCAGGUGAUGUACAUGUACUACCUUCUUGGUCACCGGCUAAUGGAGCUUCCGAUAUCCGUGGACCGUAAAGAAGUAAUGGCUGAGAACACCUACCUGCUGACCCUGGACGGAGACAUCGAUUUCCAACCUCACGCUGUACGACUGCUUAUCGAUUUGAUGAAGAAGAACAAGAAUCUGGGAGCUGCGUGCGGUCGUAUUCAUCCUGUCGGAUCAGGUCCCAUGGUGUGGUAUCAAAUGUUCGAGUAUGCUAUUGGUCAUUGGCUGCAAAAGGCGACGGAACACAUGAUCGGCUGCGUACUCUGUAGUCCUGGAUGCUUCUCUCUGUUCAGAGGAAAGGCUUUGAUGGACGACAACGUUAUGAAGAAAUACACUUUACGGUCUGAUGAAGCUCGGCAUUACGUGCAGUACGAUCAAGGGGAAGAUCGUUGGUUAUGUACGCUAUUACUGCAACGUGGCUAUCGUGUAGAAUACUCAGCUGCGUCCGAUGCCUACACUCACUGUCCCGAAGGUUUCAACGAGUUCUACAACCAACGUCGUCGCUGGGUGCCUUCCACCAUCGCCAACAUUAUGGACUUGCUCGCCGAUUGUAAACAUACUAUCAAGAUUAACGAUAACAUUUCGAGUCCCUACAUCGCAUACCAGAUGAUGUUGAUGGGUGGCACGAUCUUGGGUCCCGGUACUAUAUUCCUUAUGUUGGUGGGUGCCUUCGUGGCCGCUUUCCGAAUCGACAACUGGACUUCCUUCGAAUAUAAUCUUUAUCCCAUCUUGAUCUUCAUGUUUGUCUGCUUCACGAUGAAAUCCGAAAUUCAACUACUGGUGGCUCAGAUAUUGUCGACGGCAUAUGCUAUGAUAAUGAUGGCUGUGAUCGUCGGUACAGCUCUCCAGUUAGGCGAGGACGGCAUAGGAUCUCCGUCGGCUAUAUUCUUGAUAUCACUCUCAAGUUCGUUCUUCAUAGCCGCUUGCUUGCAUCCGCAGGAAUUCUGGUGCAUCGUACCGGGCAUCAUCUAUCUCUUGUCUAUACCCUCUAUGUACUUGCUUUUGAUUUUGUAUUCGAUUAUAAAUCUCAACGUAGUAUCAUGGGGUACUCGAGAAGUGCAAGUUAAAAAGACGAAGAAGGAAAUCGAAGCAGAGAAAAAAGAAGCUGAACUUGCGAAGAAAUCUGCAAAACAGAAAUCGCUGCUAGGUUUCCUUCAAGGAGUGAAUAGCAAUGAAGAAGAAGGCUCUAUCGAAUUCUCAUUUGCUGGGUUAUUCAAGUGUCUGUUAUGUACGCAUCCCAAAGGAAACGAGGAGAAAGUGCAACUGUUGCAUAUUGCCUCCACUCUUGAGAAAUUGGAAAAGAAAUUAGAUUCUGUUGAAAGGGCUGUUGAUCCGCAUGGCAUGAGCAGAGGACGUAAACUCUCUGUUGGGCCUAGAGGUAGCACAACUGGAGACCAUGGCUUAGAUGCUUUGGACGAAAGACCAGAAGAAGAAAACGAUUCAGAUUCCGAAACCGAUACUCUUUCUACUGUACCCAGAGAAAAGAGAGAUGAUCUCAUAAACCCAUAUUGGAUAGAGGAUCCCGAAUUGAAAAAGGGUGAAGUAGACUUUUUGAGUCCCGCCGAAUUAUCCUUCUGGAAAGAUCUCAUUGACAAAUAUUUGUACCCUAUCGAUGCUAACAAAGAAGAACAGGCCCGUAUAUCCAAGGAUCUGAAAGAAUUGAGAGAUUCGUCUGUUUUUUCUUUCUUUAUGGUCAAUGCCCUCUUUGUAUUGAUUGUAUUCUUGCUACAACUGAACAAGGACAACCUUCACUUUAAGUGGCCCUUCGGAGUUAAAACUAACAUUACAUACGAUGAGGUUACUCAAGAGGUAACGUGAGAGUCCACUACACAGCGAUCGGCAUUCAACGAUGACUCGGGACUGCGAGCUACAGUAGACAUUCAAAAGCUCGCAUUGCUGCAGACUUGCUCGAACUUCGCAAUAAGUCGGUUUUCGCAUUUGUUAUGUUCAAUGCUUUAUUCAUAUUGAUAGUAUUUUUAUUA